UUUUUCACUGUUCAAUACAGAUGAUCCUGAAGCUGAUUGUCUCCCCUGCCAUGUUGCUGGAUGACUGGAUCUAGCUGCCCUCUCCUGUAGUCGGACUUCCGAGCGGACUUGGACAUUUUCCUAUGCUCGUUAUGCUGUGCUGCCAGUCUUGAUAGAGCUCUCUUCUUCACUUCAGGAGCUCCAAUACCAACAUCUGGUCUUCUGGCGUCAUCUGAAGAUGAUGUAUCUGGUUCGAACUGAGGAACAUUGAGCGCACCCACCAGUUGUCACCGUCAUCUCCAGAGCACACCUCGGAGUGCUGACUACACUUGGAACAGUCCCCUGAAUAGCACGACACGGUGGCAUCUAACACAUCAGUCUCCGAGUCUGACGAGGCGGUUGAUGCAUGUAUUGUACAGGGUCUAUCUUCGGUGUCCGCUGCUACAUUGGAUUGACUUUCCAGACUUGUUGUUACCAGCUGAGAUACUUUGGUGGCGGUCAGUCUUCUGGUCAGAACUGGGGUCACCUCUGU
Molecule: long non-coding RNA, 511 nt
Organism: Pecten maximus
Lineage: Eukaryota; Metazoa; Mollusca; Bivalvia; Pectinida; Pectinidae
Exons: 3
Source: RefSeq, a predicted model, not a curated record